UACGGGGGGGGCAAGCGUUGUUCGGAAUUAUUGGGCGUAAAGAGCUCGUGGGCGGCUUGUCGCGUCGACUGUGAAAACCCGUGGCUCAACCAUGUGGUCUGCAGUCGAUACGGGCAGGCUAGAAUUCGGUAGGGGAGACUGGAAUUCCUGGUGUAGCGGUGAAAUGCGCAGAUAUCAGGAGGAACACCGGUGGCGAAGGCGGGUCUCUGGGCCGAUAUUGACGCUGAGGAGCGAAAGCGUGGGGAGCGAACAGG
This 254-nucleotide ribosomal RNA is filed under the name uncultured bacterium. RNAcentral's name for it is "partial 16S ribosomal RNA". It matches the Rfam family "Bacterial small subunit ribosomal RNA", at positions 524 to 776 of the family's 1533-position model. The record is from RNAcentral.